CGCCCGGGAAUUACGAGCACAAGCUUAAAACCCAAAGGAUUUGACGGUGUCCCACCCCCCUAGAGGAGCCUGUUCUAUAAUCGAUAAUCCUCGAUAUACCUCACCAUUUUUUGUUAUCCAGCCUGUAUACCUCCGUCGUAAGCUUACCAUUUGAGUGUUCAAAAGUAAGUCUAAUGGCCUAACACGCCAAUACGUCAGGUCAAGGUGCAGCCUAUAAAAUGGGAAGCAAUGGGCUACAAUUUCUAACAUAGAACAAACGAAAUACUAUAUGAAACACAGUCAUGAAGGCGGAUUUAGUAGUAAAAGAAGAAUAGCGAGCUUCUUUAAACAAGGCCCUGGGACGUGUACAAACCGCCCGUCACCCUCUUCAAUAGCGCCCCUUAUGUUCUAUAACACCUGUUAGUACCUUAGAAGAGGUAAGUCGUAACAUGGUAAGUGUACUGGAAAGUGCACUUGGCAA
RNAcentral lists this ribosomal RNA (460 nucleotides) under Mantidactylus betsileanus. RNAcentral's name for it is "partial 12S ribosomal RNA". It matches the Rfam family "Bacterial small subunit ribosomal RNA", at positions 870 to 1521 of the family's 1533-position model. The record is from RNAcentral. Lineage: Eukaryota; Metazoa; Chordata; Amphibia; Anura; Mantellidae.